AGUGAACGCUGGCGGUAGGCCUAACACAUGCAAGUCGAACGGCAGCACAGUAAGAGCUUGCUCUUACGGGUGGCGAGUGGCGGACGGGUGAGGAAUACAUCGGAAUCUACUUUUUCGUGGGGGAUAACGUAGGGAAACUUACGCUAAUACCGCAUACGACCUACGGGUGAAAGCAGGGGAUCUUCGGACCUUGCGCGAUUGAAUGAGCCGAUGUCGGAUUAGCUAGUUGGCGGGGUAAAGGCCCACCAAGGCGACGAUCCGUACCUGGUCUGAGAGGAUGAUCAGCCACACUGGAACUGAGACACGGUCCAGACUCCUACGGGAGGCAGCAGUGGGGAAUAUUGGACAAUGGGCGCAAGCCUGAUCCAGCCAUACCGCGUGGGUGAAGAAGGCCUUCGGGUUGUAAAGCCCUUUUGUUGGGAAAGAAAAGCAGCAGGUUAAUACCCCGCUGUUCUGACGGUACCCAAAGAAUAAGCACCGGCUAACUUCGUG
RNAcentral lists this ribosomal RNA (492 nucleotides) under uncultured bacterium. Its description in RNAcentral is "partial 16S ribosomal RNA". It matches the Rfam family "Bacterial small subunit ribosomal RNA", at positions 29 to 507 of the family's 1533-position model. The record is from RNAcentral.